RNAcentral lists this long non-coding RNA (777 nucleotides) under Hordeum vulgare. RNAcentral describes it as "long non-coding RNA (HVUL_LNC011101)". The record is from RNAcentral. Lineage: Eukaryota; Viridiplantae; Streptophyta; Magnoliopsida; Poales; Poaceae.
GAGGAAGGAAUUAAAGCAGAGGUUUGACAGGAGGAGUACACGUUUUGCAGUAUGUAAUGGUACAUAAAUGAUUGCAACAGAGAUUUGGCCAGCUUUGCAUGAAGGCGUGGGGAUUACACUCAGGAACGCAGUCUAGGAAUACAGUCAGGAGUACUAGUAUCAUCUUCUUUGAAAGACAAAAUGUGCGUGUACAAAACACUGGAGCAUGUACGUACGCAUGUAACCAUGUCUCUCUCUCUCUCACACACACACACACACACUACAUCUCCACGUACGUUCAAACUGCAACCAUCUGAAGGGAGGGCCUCGAAACUGAACUUCUCUGGGCUGGCAUCUUCAGUUCAGGAUACUCCACCUCCUUGCCCUCCAGUGGACAGAUCAUGCAUGCACAAGCGUUGGAAGCUUUGAUGCACCUUGUGCAUUUCUCUGUGCCCUAGUCCAACCCUUCCUGGUAGUUAGCCUGCCUGUAGAUCAGUGGAGUAACACCUAUUAGUUCAUAUGGCAUGCAUGGAAUUUGCACAAGAUGCACCAGAGCAAUAGUUCUAUCAACCUAACUCAUAUACGCAUGCAACUCAAAUGCCUCACGACCUCAUAUGCAUGCAAAAGUGGAUGCUCCAGACUACAGAGGAUGAAUCAAGCCGCAUGCAUGCAUGCAUGCAUAGUUCACACACACAAGGCAAACCUGGAGGAGCCACAAGAUCCGAUGAUAAAACCCCUUCGCAUUGCAUGGAUGCUGCACGAUGCAUGCAUGCACUGAACGGACCGAUACCUCCAUAC